UCGUCAGGUGGGAUAAUCCUUACCUGUUCCUCCGUUGGAGGACAGAUAAAGCAUGAUGAUUGGAGAUGCAUGAAACGUGAUUAACGUCUCUGCGUAAUCAGGACUUGCAACACCCUGAUUGCUCCUAUCUGAU
Molecule: small nucleolar RNA, 133 nt
Filed under: Sapajus apella (tufted capuchin)
Lineage: Eukaryota; Metazoa; Chordata; Mammalia; Primates; Cebidae
Also listed under: 1 other name
Description: Cebus apella (Tufted capuchin) U8 small nucleolar RNA
Rfam family: U8 small nucleolar RNA
About the family: U8 is a member of the C/D class of snoRNA which contain the C (UGAUGA) and D (CUGA) box motifs.
Source: Rfam by way of RNAcentral